AAAAACGAGAUCAGGUUAGUCUGACAUGACUUAUUUUUCAGAAAUCCAUGCUGACUAUUGGUGAUCACAGCAUUCCUUUCUAGGUGCUCACAGACUGUUUGCUUAAUGAUCUGCUCCAGAAUCUUCCCUGGUAUUGAUGUCAGACUGACUGGGCGGUAAUUAUUUGGGUCCUCUCUUUUCCCCUUUUUGAAAAUAGGGACAACAUUUGCCCUCCUCCAGUCUGCCGGGA
Podarcis lilfordi (Lilford's wall lizard) is the source of this 229-nucleotide non-coding RNA. The record is from the annotation of a GenBank genome assembly. NCBI's taxonomy places the organism in Eukaryota, Metazoa, Chordata, Lepidosauria, Squamata, Lacertidae.